Molecule: ribosomal RNA, 485 nt
Filed under: uncultured bacterium
Lineage: Bacteria
Description: bacterial SSU rRNA
Rfam family: Bacterial small subunit ribosomal RNA
Source: RNAcentral
AGUCGAGGGGCAGCAUCAUUAAAGCUUGCUUUGAUGGAUGGCGACCGGCGCACGGGUGAGUAACACGUAUCCAACCUGCCGACAACACUGGGAUAGCCUUUCGAAAGAAAGAUUAAUACCGGAUGGCAUAGUCUUCCCGCAUGGGAUGACUAUUAAAGAAUUUCGGUUGUCGAUGGGGAUGCGUUCCAUUAGGCAGUUGGCGGGGUAACGGCCCACCAAACCAACGAUGGAUAGGGGUUCUGAGAGGAAGGUCCCCCACAUUGGAACUGAGACACGGUCCAAACUCCUACGGGAGGCAGCAGUGAGGAAUAUUGGUCAAUGGACGAGAGUCUGAACCAGCCAAGUAGCGUGAAGGAUGACUGCCCUAUGGGUUGUAAACUUCUUUUAUACGGGAAUAAAGUGAGCCACGUGUGGCUUUUUGUAUGUACCGUAUGAAUAAGGAUCGGCUAACUCCGUGCCAGCAGCCGCGGUAAUACGGAGGAUCC